UAUGGACCAAUACGGCGCCGUUUUGGAGCCACUGAUCAAACUCCAAACGGCGUCGUUUCAUGCAUCACGGAAGGGCCAAAACCCUAAUAUGGCAGCCACCUCUUCUCCUUUUUUAAAACGAAAAGAAAAAGAUAAGUAAAGGGAAAAUAAAAAAAAGGGAGAAUGCUCUCCUCUUUGCGCCGCUUUGCGCAUUGAGGGCGUUCAGACGGCUUUCGAACCUAGCCCGUUCUCCGACGACGACGAAGAGGGCUAAGAUCGCACUACCAGGUGUACGGAGGCGCGGACGUGGCACAUACGUGGGAGAGGCAUGCUCGUGCGGAGGUGACAGAGGCUAGGGCAGGAGCGGCUAUACGUGCGUAGGCGCAACACGCGCAAGGAGAAGGCCUGGUGGUUACGGCGCUAGUUGGGGUUGAUGCUAGGGUUUCCCCUUCUGUUGGGUUAGUCGGGCCAGGGUAUUGGGCUUAGGUUUAGGUUUAGGCUAAUGGGGUUUGUACUGGGCCAUAACGGAUUAGCAAUUUGGGCUAGACAUUGGGUUAAAAUAAUUUGGGCCACGUUAGGCCCAUGUGUUUGGACUGUGGACUUUGAUUAUAUUUGUUUUUUCAUUUGGUUUACUUUAGUAGCGGGCCGGGCAAAAUUUGGGCUUAACAAUAUAUAUUGUGAAUCAUCCUCUUCUAUA
Gossypium raimondii (Peruvian cotton) is the source of this 676-nucleotide long non-coding RNA. RefSeq lists it as uncharacterized. The record is from RefSeq and is a predicted model, not a curated record. The transcript is spliced from 2 exons. Lineage: Eukaryota; Viridiplantae; Streptophyta; Magnoliopsida; Malvales; Malvaceae.